GACCUUCGGGUCGUAAACUCCUUUCGAUCGAGACGAAUGGCCUCCGGGUGAAUAAUCCGGAGGAGUGACGGUACCGAGAGAAGAAGCCCCGGCUAACUCCGUGCCAGCAGCCGCGGUAAUACGGGGGGGGCAAGCGUUGUUCGGAAUUACUGGGCGUAAAGGGCUCGUAGGUGGCCAACUAAGUCAGACGUGAAAUCCCUCGGCUUAACCGGGGAACUGCAUCUGAUACUGGAUGGCUUGAGUUCGGGAGAGGGAUGCGGAAUUCCAGGUGUAGCGGUGAAAUGCGUAGAUAUCUGGAGGAACACCGGUGGCGAAGGCGGCAUCCUGGACCGACACUGACGCUGAGGAGCGAAAGCCAGGGGAGCAAACGGGAUUAGAUGCCCCGGUAGUCCUGGCCCUAAACGAUGAAUGCUUGGUGUGGCGGGUAUCGAUCCCUGCCGUGCCGAAGCUAACGCGAUAAGCAUUCCGCCUGGGGAGUACGGUCGCAAGGCUGAAACUCAAA
RNAcentral lists this ribosomal RNA (502 nucleotides) under uncultured bacterium. RNAcentral's name for it is "bacterial SSU rRNA". It matches the Rfam family "Bacterial small subunit ribosomal RNA", at positions 413 to 905 of the family's 1533-position model. The record is from RNAcentral.